UACGUAGGGCGCGAGCGUUAAUCGGAAUUACUGGGCGUAAAGCGUGCGCAGGCGGCUUUGCAAGACAGAUGUGAAAUCCCCGGGCUCAACCUGGGAACUGCAUUUGUGACUGCAAGGCUAGAGUACGGCAGAGGGGGAUGGAAUUCCGCGUGUAGCAGUGAAAUGCGUAGAUAUGCGGAGGAACACCAAUGGCGAAGGCAAUCCCCUGGGCCUGUACUGACGCUCAUGCACGAAAGCGUGGGGAGCAAACAGG
RNAcentral lists this ribosomal RNA (253 nucleotides) under uncultured bacterium. RNAcentral describes it as "partial 16S ribosomal RNA". It matches the Rfam family "Bacterial small subunit ribosomal RNA", at positions 524 to 776 of the family's 1533-position model. The record is from RNAcentral.